Molecule: ribosomal RNA, 253 nt
Filed under: uncultured bacterium
Lineage: Bacteria
Description: partial 16S ribosomal RNA
Rfam family: Bacterial small subunit ribosomal RNA
Source: RNAcentral
GACGUAGGGCGCGAGCGUUGUCCGGAUUUAUUGGGCGUAAGGAGCUCGUAGGCGGCUUGUCGCGUCGUCCGUGAAAACUUGGGGCUCAACCCCAAGCUUGCGGUCGAUACGGGCAGGCUAGAGUUCGGUAGGGGAGACUGGAAUUCCUGGUGUAGCGGUGAAAUGCGCAGAUAUCAGGAAGAACACCCGUGGCGAAGGCGGCUCUCUGGAACGCAACUGACGCUGAGACGCGAAAGCGUGGGGAGCAAACAGG